This 253-nucleotide ribosomal RNA is filed under the name uncultured bacterium. RNAcentral describes it as "partial 16S ribosomal RNA". It matches the Rfam family "Bacterial small subunit ribosomal RNA", at positions 524 to 776 of the family's 1533-position model. The record is from RNAcentral.
UACGGGGGGAGCAAGCGUUGUUCGGAUUUACUGGGCGUAAAGCGCACGUAGGCGGAUCGUUAAGUCGGGGGUGAAAUCCUGGAGCUCAACUCCAGAACUGCCUUCGAUACUGGCGAUCUUGAGUCCGGAAGAGGUGAGUGGAACUCCUAGUGUAGAGGUGGAAUUCGUAGAUAUUAGGAAGAACACCAGUGGCGAAGGCGGCUCACUGGUCCGGUACUGACGCUGAGGUGCGAAAGCGUGGGGAGCAAACAGG